This 274-nucleotide ribosomal RNA is filed under the name uncultured bacterium. Its description in RNAcentral is "partial 16S ribosomal RNA". It matches the Rfam family "Bacterial small subunit ribosomal RNA", at positions 523 to 796 of the family's 1533-position model. The record is from RNAcentral.
AUACGGAGGGUGCAAGCGUUAUCCGGAAUCACUGGGUUUAAAGGGUGCGUAGGCGGCUAAAUAAGUCAGAGGUGAAAUCUUCCUGCUUAACGGGAAAAUUACCUUUGAAACUGUAUAGCUUGAAUUAAGUUGAGGUUAGCGGAAUGUGACAUGUAGCGGUGAAAUGCAUAGAUAUGUCAUAGAACACCAAAUGCGAAGGCAGCUGGCUAGGCUUAUAUUGACGCUGAGGCACGAAAGCGUGGGGAGCGAACAGGAUUAGAGACCCUAGUAGUCC